UAGUUAUAAUGUAUGGGCUUCUUAUUUCUAAAGGCGCAGUCGCCGUAAGAGCACGACGGCAGGUCCAAGAUUUGGUGACGACUAAGAUUGAUCCAGAUGGCGUAUAUGUAAUUAACAAAGAAGCACCAAGAGUCAGCCCUGCAGGCAGCUAGGGAAUAAAGACGGUUUGCAAAAUUUUGCA
RNAcentral lists this long non-coding RNA (181 nucleotides) under Dermacentor andersoni. RNAcentral's name for it is "uncharacterized LOC126525655". The record is from RNAcentral. Lineage: Eukaryota; Metazoa; Arthropoda; Arachnida; Ixodida; Ixodidae.